Papilio xuthus (Asian swallowtail) is the source of this 345-nucleotide long non-coding RNA. RefSeq lists it as uncharacterized. The record is from RefSeq and is a predicted model, not a curated record. The transcript has 3 exons. Lineage: Eukaryota; Metazoa; Arthropoda; Insecta; Lepidoptera; Papilionidae.
AUUUAACACAUCAAUAACACCGAUAAAUUUAAUUAACAACAUUUAUGAAACUCUAUCUUAAUUCUUUGACUCUAAUAUGUUAUAUCAACUACAGGUGGCAAAAACGGGAAUGUUGGAUUGGAUAAUUCAUGAACUCGACGCCUGGCGAAAUUUUUGCUAUGCCUAAAAAGCGAAAAUAGUGGAGAAAACGGGAAUGUUGGAUUGGAUAGUUCAUGAACUCGGCGCUUGGCGAAAUUUUUGCUAUGCCUAAAAAGGGAAAAUAGUGGAGAAAGCGGGAAUGUUGGCUUGCAUAGUUCAUGAACUCGGCGCUUGGCGAAAUUUUUGGUGUGCCUAAGAAGUGAAAAU